This 73-nucleotide transfer RNA is filed under the name Felis catus (domestic cat). It matches the Rfam family "tRNA". From Rfam's summary of the family: Transfer RNA (tRNA) molecules are approximately 80 nucleotides in length. Their secondary structure includes four short double-helical elements and three loops (D, anti-codon, and T loops). Further hydrogen bonds mediate the characteristic L-shaped molecular structure. tRNAs have two regions of fundamental functional importance: the anti-codon, which is responsible for specific mRNA codon recognition, and the 3' end, to which the tRNAs corresponding amino acid is attached (by aminoacyl-tRNA synthetases). tRNAs cope with the degeneracy of the genetic code in two manners: having more than one tRNA (with a specific anti-codon) for a particular amino acid; and 'wobble' base-pairing, i.e. permitting non-standard base-pairing at the 3rd anti-codon position. RNAcentral also lists the same sequence under 2 other names. Lineage: Eukaryota; Metazoa; Chordata; Mammalia; Carnivora; Felidae. The record is from Rfam by way of RNAcentral.
GCCUGGGUGGCUCAGUUGGUAAAGCGCCUGACUUUGACUCAGGUCAUGAUCUCAUGGUUUAUGAGCUCAAGCC